This is a long non-coding RNA of Amphiprion ocellaris (clown anemonefish), 457 nucleotides long. RefSeq lists it as uncharacterized. The transcript is spliced from 2 exons. Lineage: Eukaryota; Metazoa; Chordata; Actinopteri; Pomacentridae. The record is from RefSeq and is a predicted model, not a curated record.
UGAUAAGGGAGUGGAGGUGGUGGUCCGGAUGAAGCGUACUCUCCGAGUGUCGGGGUUCCAGGAGUGUUGGGGAAGUCUGUGAAUCCAGUUUGGUUGGAGAAUCCCUGACUCCCUGUAAUACACCGAAGCAAAUAAAAGCAGACUCCUCUGUCCUACCUGGCCGGCUGUAAUCGGGUGUGUUCCUGCCUCCUGUGGUCAGACUCUGGUAGGGGGAUGAUGCCGGGCCCAGAGCAGCAAUCAUCUCCAUCACGUUCGGCAGGACCAUGUGACUCGGACUGACUGUACGGCAGCGUUUGAGGACUGGACCAUCGGGCUCCUCCUUUAUGUGGAGGUCAGGUUUAAUGGGCACCGGUCUCCAACCACACACCGGGUCUAUGGUGAUCUCCUCAUAGUCAGAGCUGAAAAUGAAAAGAAGGGAGACAAGACAGGCUUAAAUGAAAUAAAAAGUUAGUGGACA